RNAcentral lists this small nuclear RNA (18 nucleotides) under Arabidopsis thaliana (thale cress). RNAcentral's name for it is "snRNA_09048". The record is from RNAcentral. Lineage: Eukaryota; Viridiplantae; Streptophyta; Magnoliopsida; Brassicales; Brassicaceae.
UCUUCGAUGGUGGAUCAG